This 273-nucleotide ribosomal RNA is filed under the name uncultured bacterium. Its description in RNAcentral is "partial 16S ribosomal RNA". It matches the Rfam family "Bacterial small subunit ribosomal RNA", at positions 524 to 796 of the family's 1533-position model. The record is from RNAcentral.
GACGAACCGUCCUAACGUUGUUCGGAUUCACUGGGCUUAAAGGGCGCGUAGGCGGGUGAGCAAGUCCGGGGUGAAAUCUUUCGGCUUAACCGGAAAACUGCCUUGGAUACUGCUCGUCUAGAGGGAGGUAGGGGUCUGUGGAACUUCCGGUGGAGCGGUGAAAUGCGUUGAUAUCGGAAGGAACGCCGGUGGCGAAAGCGACGGACUGGACCUCUUCUGACGCUGAGGCGCGAAAGCUAGGGUAGCGAACGGGAUUAGAAACCCCCGUAGUCC